AACGAACGCUGGCGGCAGGCCUAACACAUGCAAGUCGAACGCCGUAGCAAUACGGAGUGGCAGACGGGUGAGUAACACGUGGGAACGUACCCUUCGGUUCGGGGUAACUCAGGGAAACUUGAGCUAAUACCGGAUACGUCCGAGAGGAGAAAGAUUUAUCGCCGAGGGAUCGGCCCGCGUCUGAUUAGCUUGUUGGUGAGGUAACGGCUCACCAAGGCGACGAUCAGUAGCUGGUCGAGAGGAUGAUCAGCCACAUUGGGACUGAGACACGGCCCAAACUCCUACGGGAGGCAGCAGUGGGGAAUAUUGGACAAUGGGCGCAAGCCUGAUCCAGCCAUGCCGCGUGAGUGAUGAAGGUCUUCGGAUUGUAAAGCUCUUUCGACGGGGACGAUGAUGACGGUACCCGUAGAAGAAGCCCCGGCUAACUUCGUGCCAGCAGCCGCUGUAAC
This 449-nucleotide ribosomal RNA is filed under the name uncultured bacterium. RNAcentral's name for it is "bacterial SSU rRNA". It matches the Rfam family "Bacterial small subunit ribosomal RNA", at positions 29 to 524 of the family's 1533-position model. The record is from RNAcentral.